This 84-nucleotide transfer RNA is filed under the name Sphingomicrobium sp. RNAcentral's name for it is "tRNA-Leu". It matches the Rfam family "tRNA". From Rfam's summary of the family: Transfer RNA (tRNA) molecules are approximately 80 nucleotides in length. Their secondary structure includes four short double-helical elements and three loops (D, anti-codon, and T loops). The record is from RNAcentral. Lineage: Bacteria; Pseudomonadati; Pseudomonadota; Alphaproteobacteria; Sphingomonadales; Sphingomicrobiaceae. RNAcentral also lists the same sequence under 3 other names.
GCCCCCGUGGCGGAAUGGUAGACGCGAUCGACUCAAAAUCGAUUGUCGCAAGACGUGUCCGUUCGAGUCGGACCGGGGGCACCA